Molecule: non-coding RNA, 384 nt
Filed under: Vigna radiata var. radiata (mung bean)
Lineage: Eukaryota; Viridiplantae; Streptophyta; Magnoliopsida; Fabales; Fabaceae
Description: Eukaryotic small subunit ribosomal RNA
Rfam family: Eukaryotic small subunit ribosomal RNA
Source: Rfam by way of RNAcentral
CAAUAACAGGUCUGUGAUGCCCUUAGAUGUCCUGGGCUGCACGCGCGCUACAAUGAAGGUAUCAACGUGUAUUUCCUAGGCCGAGAGGUCCGGGUAAACCGCUGAACCACCUUCUUGCUUGGGAUUGUGAACUGAAACUGUUCACAUGAACCUGGAAUUCCCAGUAAGUGCGAGUCAUUAACUCGCAUUGAUUACGUCCCUGCCCUUUGUACACACCGCCCGUCGCUACUACCGAUUGAAUUGUUUAGUGAGGUCUCCGGACGUGAUCGCUGCGACGCCUCGUUGUGUUGCAGUUGCUUCACAGAAGUUGACCGAACUUGGUUAUUUAGAGGAAGUAAAAGUCGUAACAAGGUUUCCGUAGGUGAACCUGCGGAAGGAUCAUUA